This 445-nucleotide ribosomal RNA is filed under the name uncultured Anaerolineaceae bacterium. RNAcentral describes it as "bacterial SSU rRNA". It matches the Rfam family "Bacterial small subunit ribosomal RNA", at positions 924 to 1382 of the family's 1533-position model. The record is from RNAcentral. Lineage: Bacteria; Bacillati; Chloroflexota; Anaerolineae; Anaerolineales; Anaerolineaceae.
CACAAGCAGCGGAGCGUGUGGUUUAAUUCGUUGCUACACGAAGAACCUUACCUGGGUUUGACAUAUAAGUUGUAGGGAACUGAAAAGGGACCGACCCUUCGGGGAGCUUAUACAGGUGUUGCAUGGCUGUCGUCAGCUCGUGUCGUGAGAUGUUCGGUUAAGUCCGCUAACGAGCGCAACCCUCGCCGUAUGUUACAAGUGUCAUACGGGACUGCCGGUAAAAAGCCGGAGGAAGGUGAGGAUGAUGUCAAGUCAGCAUGACCUUUAUAUCCAGGGCUACACACACGCUACAAUGGUCUGUACAAUUGGUUGCCAAGCCGCGAGGCGGAGCCAAUCCGUAAAGCAGGCCUCAGUUCAGAUUGCAGUCUGCAACUCGACUGCAUGAAGCCGGAGUUGCUAGUAACCGCAGGUCAGCAAUACUGCGGUGAAUACGUUCCCGGGUCUU